This is a long non-coding RNA of Salvelinus sp. IW2-2015, 406 nucleotides long. RefSeq lists it as uncharacterized. Lineage: Eukaryota; Metazoa; Chordata; Actinopteri; Salmoniformes; Salmonidae. The record is from RefSeq and is a predicted model, not a curated record.
ACUUUAUUUAUUUUCCACCUCAGAGUCUGAUGGUGUUGUGCUGUUCUCUCUCCAGUCGUAUCUCCUGUAUCCUCUACAUCAGUCCUAGUAGGAGUGGUUGUGGGUCUGCUUGUUGCUGGUGUUCUAUUGGUCAUUCUCCUGGUCCUGCUGGUGAGAUAUCAAAACAGAAAAGGUUCCUGUUUCAACAGAACAUUCUGGCCCCCUCAGUCCCGGAGCACCAACCAGGACCCCCAACAGGAUCAAGGAUCUGGGUAUACACAUCAGCAGCAUGGUGACACUAACAUCUACGAUACGAUCAACCCCUCAGACAACAAUGAUAAUGAUUCUGCUGGUGCUUCUGCUGCUGGACCAAGUCAUGUGACUUACGCCCAGAUUCAACUGAAGAAAUUGGACAAGAAAAAGAAAG